This 1029-nucleotide ribosomal RNA is filed under the name Nigrograna antibiotica. RNAcentral describes it as "SSU rRNA". It matches the Rfam family "Eukaryotic small subunit ribosomal RNA", at positions 75 to 1112 of the family's 1831-position model. Lineage: Eukaryota; Fungi; Ascomycota; Dothideomycetes; Pleosporales; Nigrogranaceae. The record is from RNAcentral.
UAUACCGUGAAACUGCGAAUGGCUCAUUAAAUCAGUUAUCGUUUAUUUGAUAGUACCUUACUACUUGGAUAACCGUGGUAAUUCUAGAGCUAAUACAUGCUAAAAACCCCGACUUCGGGAGGGGUGUAUUUAUUAGAUAAAAAACCAAUGCCCUUCGGGGCUCCUUGGUGAUUCAUAAUAACUUAACGGAUCGCAUGGCCUUGCGCCGGCGACGGUUCAUUCAAAUUUCUGCCCUAUCAACUUUCGAUGGUAAGGUAUUGGCUUACCAUGGUUUCAACGGGUAACGGGGAAUUAGGGUUCGAUUCCGGAGAGGGAGCCUGAGAAACGGCUACCACAUCCAAGGAAGGCAGCAGGCGCGCAAAUUACCCAAUCCCGACACGGGGAGGUAGUGACAAUAAAUACUGAUACAGGGCUCUUUUGGGUCUUGUAAUCGGAAUGAGUACAAUUUAAACCCCUUAACGAGGAACAAUUGGAGGGCAAGUCUGGUGCCAGCAGCCGCGGUAAUUCCAGCUCCAAUAGCGUAUAUUAAAGUUGUUGCAGUUAAAAAGCUCGUAGUUGAACCUUGGGCCUGGCUGGCCGGUCCGCCUCACCGCGUGUACUGGUCCGGCCGGGCCUUUCCUUCUGGAGAUCCUCAUGCCCUUCACUGGGUGUGUUGGGGAACCAGGACUUUUACUGUGAACAAAUUAGAGUGUUCAAAGCAGGCCUUUGCUCGAAUACAUUAGCAUGGAAUAAUAGAAUAGGACGUGCGGUCCUAUUUUGUUGGUUUCUAGGACCGCCGUAAUGAUUAAUAGGGAUAGUCGGGGGCAUCAGUAUUCAAUUGUCAGAGGUGAAAUUCUUGGAUUUAUUGAAGACUAACUACUGCGAAAGCAUUUGCCAAGGAUGUUUUCAUUAAUCAGUGAACGAAAGUUAGGGGAUCGAAGACGAUCAGAUACCGUCGUAGUCUUAACCGUAAACUAUGCCGACUAGGGAUCGGGCGAUGUUUCUAUCUUGACUCGCUCGGCACCUUACGAGAAAUCAAAGUUUUUGGGU